UACGAAGGGGGCUAGCGUUGCUCGGAAUCACUGGGCGUAAAGCGCACGUAGGCGGACUCUUAAGUCAGGGGUGAAAUCCUGGAGCUCAACUCCAGAACUGCCUUUGAUACUGGGAGUCUUGAGUUCGGGAGAGGUGAGUGGAACUGCGAGUGUAGAGGUGAAAUUCGUAGAUAUUCGCAAGAACACCAGUGGCGAAGGCGGCUCACUGGCCCGAUACUGACACUGAGGUGCGAAAGCGUGGGGAGCAAACAGG
RNAcentral lists this ribosomal RNA (253 nucleotides) under uncultured bacterium. Its description in RNAcentral is "partial 16S ribosomal RNA". It matches the Rfam family "Bacterial small subunit ribosomal RNA", at positions 524 to 776 of the family's 1533-position model. The record is from RNAcentral.